UACGAAGGGGGCUAGCGUUGCUCGGAAUUACUGGGCGUAAAGCGCACGUAGGCGGAUUGUUAAGUCGGGGGUGAAAUCCUGGAGCUCAACUCCAGAACUGCCUUCGAUACUGGCGAUCUCGAGUUCGGGAGAGGUGAGUGGAACUGCGAGUGUAGAGGUGAAAUUCGUAGAUAUUCGGAAGAACACCAGUGGCGAAGGCGGCUCACUGGUCCGGUACUGGACGCUGAGGUGCGAAAGCGUGGGGGAGCAAACAGG
RNAcentral lists this ribosomal RNA (255 nucleotides) under uncultured bacterium. RNAcentral describes it as "partial 16S ribosomal RNA". It matches the Rfam family "Bacterial small subunit ribosomal RNA", at positions 524 to 776 of the family's 1533-position model. The record is from RNAcentral.